CUACGGGAGGCAGCAGUGGGGAAUAUUGGGCAAUGGGCGAAAGCCUGACCCAGCAACGCCGCGUGAAGGAAGAAGGUUUUCGGAUCGUAAACUUCUAUCCCAGGUGAAGAUAAUGACGGUAGCCUGGAAGGAAGCCCCGGCUAACUACGUGCCAGCAGCCGCGGUAAUACGUAGGGGGCAAGCGUUGUCCGGAAUGAUUGGGCGUAAAGGGCGCGUAGGCGGCCUUCUAAGUCCGAUGUGAAAGUCCUGCUUUUAAGGUGGGAAUUGCAUUGGAAACUGGAGGGCUUGAGUGCAGGAGAGGUAAGUGGAAUUCCCGGUGUAGCGGUGAAAUGCGUAGAGAUCGGGAGGAACACCAGUGGCGAAGGCGACUUACUGGACUGUAACUGACGCUGAGGCGCGAAAGUGUGGGGAGCAAACAGGAUUAGAUACCCCCGUAGUC
This 439-nucleotide ribosomal RNA is filed under the name uncultured bacterium. RNAcentral describes it as "partial 16S ribosomal RNA". It matches the Rfam family "Bacterial small subunit ribosomal RNA", at positions 339 to 795 of the family's 1533-position model. The record is from RNAcentral.